Molecule: unclassified non-coding RNA, 350 nt
Filed under: Hevea brasiliensis (rubber tree)
Lineage: Eukaryota; Viridiplantae; Streptophyta; Magnoliopsida; Malpighiales; Euphorbiaceae
Source: RNAcentral
ACCAAGUCCUUGUCAGCCUCUAUAAAUUCCCUCAGAGCCUCCCUCUCCAAUAUAUCCCACCAAAGUUAGAUUACUUUUACAUGCCAUGUCUUCCAUUGGAGCUGCUUGUGCUCAGGUGUACUUGAUGAAAAAGAGGCAGGAGGAAAAGAUGAAGAAAGCUGAAGAAGAAAGAAGUAACACAGGAGGGUUUAAAGAGAGGAAAGUUGGUGGUGGUUAUUCAUCAACUGGAGCGUGGAGCAACAAAAAGGUUCAUCCAGGCAACUAUUUUCCAGGAACUACCUCUGCAGCAAAACAAGGAGAGUAAUGUUUGGUGAAAAUGGAAGCUCUCUUCAUUUUCUUGUAAAAUUAAU